GUGGGAGCCCGUGGCCUUUAAAGUGCCGUUCAGCCUUUUCCUCCAGGGGUGCUUUGUAAACACGGCUGUGCUCAGGGCUCGCGGGUGACCGAAAGGAUCAUGAACUAGUGACCUGGAAAGGGUACUAGAUGGAAACUUGAGAAAGGACUGCUUAUUGAUAACAGCUAAGGUAUUCCUGGAAGCAGAGUAAAUAAAGCUCAUGGCCCACCAGCUAGAAAGUAUUCUUGCCAUGAGAAAAAGAAUGUGAUAAGUUAUUCAACUUAUGAAAUUCAAGUUACAUGUGAAUUCUGCCAGGCAAUACAAGGACCUGUGGAAUAUGAGUGAUGACAAACCCUUUCUAUGUACUGCGCCUGGAUGUGGCCAGAUCAGACCCCAACACCAACAAGAUUCUUGAAAAACUGUGAAGAAGUGGGUUUGUUUAAUGAGUUGGCGAGUCCAUUUGAGAAUGAAUUCAAGAAAGCUUCAGAAGAUGACAUUAAAAAAAUGCCUCUAGAUUUAUCCCCUCUUGCAACACCUAUCAUAAGAAGCAAAAUUGAGGAGCCUUCUGUUGUAGAAACAACUCACCAGGAUAGUCCUUUACCUCACCCAGAGUCUACUACCAGUGAUGAGAAGGAAGUACCAUUGGCACAAACUGCACAGCCCACAUCAGCUAUUGUUCGUCCAGCAUCAUUACAGGUUCCCAAUGUGCUGCUUACAAGUUCUGACUCAAGUCCCUGUACCAGGCCCAUUUCCUCUUCUGUUACAUCUUCCUAAUGGACAAACCAUGCCUGUUGCUAUUCCUGCAUCAAUUACAAGUUCUAAUGUGCAUGUUCCAGCUGCAGUCCCACUCGUUCGACCAGUCACCAUGGUGCCUAGUGUUCCAGGAAUCCCAGGUCCUUCCUCUCCCCAACCAGUACAGUCAGAAGC
This 906-nucleotide long non-coding RNA is filed under the name Homo sapiens (human). RNAcentral describes it as "long non-coding RNA NONHSAT185926.1". Lineage: Eukaryota; Metazoa; Chordata; Mammalia; Primates; Hominidae. The record is from RNAcentral.